CAACCCUCAAGCUCUGCUUGGUGUUGGGCUCCGCCCCCGUGGCCGGCCCCAAAGUCAGUGGCGGCGCCGUCUGGCUCUAAGCGUAGUACAUCUCUCGCUCUAGGGUCCUACGGUGGCUUGCCAGAACCCCAACUUCUAU
Molecule: unclassified non-coding RNA, 139 nt
Filed under: uncultured Oidiodendron
Lineage: Eukaryota; Fungi; Ascomycota; Leotiomycetes; Myxotrichaceae
Description: sequence contains ITS2
Source: RNAcentral